UACGGGGGGGGCAAGCGUUGUUCGGAAUUACUGGGCGUAAAGGGCUCGUAGGCGGCCAACUAAGUCAGACGUGAAAUCCCUCGGCUUAACCGGGGAACUGCGUCUGAUACUGGAUGGCUUGAGAUUGGGAGAGGGAUGCGGAAUUCCAGGUGUAGCGGUGAAAUGCGCAGAUAUCAGGAGGAACACCUAUAGCGAAGGCAGCUUGCUGGGACGUUACUGACGCUAAGGCGCGAAAGCGUGGGGAGCGAACAGG
RNAcentral lists this ribosomal RNA (253 nucleotides) under uncultured bacterium. Its description in RNAcentral is "partial 16S ribosomal RNA". It matches the Rfam family "Bacterial small subunit ribosomal RNA", at positions 524 to 776 of the family's 1533-position model. The record is from RNAcentral.